GUGAGGAAUAUUGCGCAAUGGAGGCAACUCUGACGCAGCCAUGCCGCGUGCAGGCAGAAGGCGCUACGCGUUGUAAACUGCUUUUAACCGGGAAGAAACCCCAGGACGUGUCCUGGGUUGACGGUACCGGAGGAAUAAGCACCGGCUAACUUCGUGCCAGCAGCCGCGGUAAUACGAAGGGUGCCAGCGUUAUCCGGUUUCAUUGGGUUUAAAGGGUGCGUAGGCGGAGCGUUAAGUCAGUGGUUAAAUCCUGCAGCUUAACUGUAGACUUGCCAUUGAUACUGGCGCUCUUGGGUACGCUUGAAGUGGGCGGAAUGUGCCGUGUAGCGGUGAAAUGCUUAGAUAUGGCACAGAACACCAAUUGCGAAGGCAGCUCACUAAGGCGAUACUGACGCUGAGGCACGAAAGCGUGGGGAUCGAACAGGAUUAGAUACCCGGGUAGUCC
RNAcentral lists this ribosomal RNA (445 nucleotides) under uncultured bacterium. Its description in RNAcentral is "partial 16S ribosomal RNA". It matches the Rfam family "Bacterial small subunit ribosomal RNA", at positions 354 to 796 of the family's 1533-position model. The record is from RNAcentral.